UACGUAGGGGGCAAGCGUUGUCCGGAUUUAUUGGGCGUAAAGAGCGUGUAGGCGGCCAAAUAGGUCGGUUGUGAAAACUGGAGGCUUAACCUCCAGACGUCGACCGAAACCAUCUGGCUAGAGUCCGGAAGGGGAGAGUGGAAUUCCUGGUGUAGCGGUGAAAUGCGCAGAUAUCAGGAAGAACACCCGUGGCGAAGGCGGCUCUCUGGGACGGUACUGACGCUGAGACGCGAAAGCGUGGGGAGCGAACAGG
RNAcentral lists this ribosomal RNA (253 nucleotides) under uncultured bacterium. RNAcentral describes it as "partial 16S ribosomal RNA". It matches the Rfam family "Bacterial small subunit ribosomal RNA", at positions 524 to 776 of the family's 1533-position model. The record is from RNAcentral.